UACGGUGGGGGCAAGCGUUGUUCGGAAUUACUGGGCGUAAAGGUCGCGUAGGCGGCCUUCUAAGUCGGACGUGAAAUCCCUCGGCUUAACCGAGGAACUGCGUCCGAUACUGAAAGGCUUGAAUCCGGGAGAGGGAUGUGGAAUUCCAGGUGUAGCGGUGAAAUGCGUAGAUAUCUGGAGGAACACCGGUGGCGAAGGCGGCAUCCUGGACCGGUAUUGACGCUGAGGCGCGAAAGCUAGGGGAGCAAACGGG
RNAcentral lists this ribosomal RNA (253 nucleotides) under uncultured bacterium. RNAcentral's name for it is "partial 16S ribosomal RNA". It matches the Rfam family "Bacterial small subunit ribosomal RNA", at positions 524 to 776 of the family's 1533-position model. The record is from RNAcentral.